AAUGAAUUGCCUGAAAAAGGAUUACCUUGAUAGGGUAAAUCAUGAAAUUUUAAUAAUUUCAUUCAUUA
RNAcentral lists this transfer RNA (68 nucleotides) under Bironella hollandi. RNAcentral describes it as "tRNA-Ile". The record is from RNAcentral. Lineage: Eukaryota; Metazoa; Arthropoda; Insecta; Diptera; Culicidae.